Molecule: long non-coding RNA, 232 nt
Filed under: Homo sapiens (human)
Lineage: Eukaryota; Metazoa; Chordata; Mammalia; Primates; Hominidae
Description: non-protein coding lnc-HS3ST3B1-11:1
Source: RNAcentral
AGAUAGAGUCAUGAAAAGCCAUAAAGGAAGAGACAGAGUUAGAAUACUAACGCGUCCAAGGCUAGCACAUUAAAAACUUGUCGACUCAGGGAGGGGCUUCCUGCUAGAGAACAGGGGAAAACGAGGCUUCGUGUCUAUAGCUGUGGAUAACUGACAUCUAGAGGUUCCACAGAAAAUCAGGAGGAUUGGUAUUACUAAUUAUAAGUGUAUAUUCUCAACAAAUCUUCCAUAU